GACGAUAGGGAGCAAGCAGGGGAGCCGGGCUUAGAUCAGCGGAGCGGACCACAGACUAACAGUGAGAGCAGAGGCCAGAGGAAAUUAUCUCCCACUAAGCCACAAAUCUCUUCCCUUUCUUUUCUCUGGUCCAUUUUUUUCUUCUCUGUUCUUUCUUCCCCCUCUCCUCCCCCCCUUUUUCUUUUGUUUUUAUUUAUACCUUUGUUUUCUGUUCUUUUUCACAUCUUUGUUAGUAUGUUGGGAUGCUUUUCAGAUCUCUUAAUUAUGAAUAGCGAAUAUUUUGCACUUGCAGCUAUUUGCUCUCCAGCUAAUUGGAUCACCUCAGUUUUAUCCCCAUACACUGCUGCAGUUAGUUUUUGUGCUCUCUGCUCUUCUCUUUCUAUCUUCUCUCUCAUCAUCUCUGUUUCACCAGGAGUAUUUGGCGAGUCUUGUAGUGUCCAGCAGACGUGUUGGUUGGAGGGUGACGGAGGCUGGGGGCCUGUUGUCCUGGUUGCUGGUGUCAGGGAGAUGGAGGUUCAUGCAUACUGAUGCUGUUUGAACUUCUCCUAAAGUGAUUAUUUAUGCACAGCCAGACCCGCUCAGCUGAGCCAGGAUUAACUUCAUGAAAAUGCAAAAGGGCAUGGAGGAAGGUGCGCGCGCGCACACACACACACACACACACACACACACACACACACACACACACACAGUGGCG
Molecule: non-coding RNA, 694 nt
Organism: Xyrichtys novacula (pearly razorfish)
Lineage: Eukaryota; Metazoa; Chordata; Actinopteri; Labriformes; Labridae
Source: the annotation of a GenBank genome assembly